CAGCGUUGCCGCUCCGCUCCUGUCCGCUGGCAGAGGUUCAACAGUGACCACUCUUGAUUCAUAUAACUCACAGCAAAGCCUCCAACUGUCUCAUGGACUAUAGAUCUAAAUUGAUACAGAAGAGGAGCUCUCAAU
Molecule: long non-coding RNA, 135 nt
Filed under: Pavo cristatus (Indian peafowl)
Lineage: Eukaryota; Metazoa; Chordata; Aves; Galliformes; Phasianidae
Description: lncRNA (ENSPSTG00000011525.1)
Source: RNAcentral